UACGUAGGGCGCAAGCGUUAUCCGGAAUUACUGGGCGUAAAGGGCGCGUAGGCGGCAGGCCAAGUCGGGAGUGAAAGCCCGGGGCUCAACCCCCGGAAUGUCUUUCGAAACUGGCCAGCUGGAGUGCGGAAGAGGCAACUGGAAUUCCCAGUGUAGCGGUGAAAUGCGUAGAUAUUGGGAAGAACACCUGAGGCGAAGGCGGGUUGCUGGGCCGACACUGACGCUGAGGCGCGAAAAGCCAGGGGGAGCCAAAACGGGG
Molecule: ribosomal RNA, 259 nt
Filed under: uncultured bacterium
Lineage: Bacteria
Description: partial 16S ribosomal RNA
Rfam family: Bacterial small subunit ribosomal RNA
Source: RNAcentral